Molecule: long non-coding RNA, 468 nt
Organism: Homo sapiens (human)
Lineage: Eukaryota; Metazoa; Chordata; Mammalia; Primates; Hominidae
Source: Ensembl
AGAGGUACAAGAGCUUCAGGCUGCAGGAGACCGGCUUUUGGCAUCAGACAGCCACCUCUAUUGACUGAAGUUGACAAUGGAGAAUAAAACUCAUUACCCCUGCUGAAUCCAGGGGCCCCUUUUUACAGAUGAGAAAAGUUCCAGAAAGACCCAGAGACAUAAUCAGGUACCUGCGUCGAGCUCUGCACAGGUGACUGGGACUGCAACCCCGGAGACCACUGUGUCAGCAAUGGGUGUGGCCAUGAGUGUGUUGCAGGGUAAGGACAGAUGAAGAGUUAUCUUAAGGAUCAUCUUUCCCUAAGAUCGUCAUCCCUUCCUGGAGUUCCUAUCUUCCAAGAUGUGACUGUCUGGAGUUCCUUGACUAGGAAGAUGGAUGAAAACAGCAAGCCUGUGGAUGGAGACUACAGGGGAUAUGGGAGGCAGGGAAGAGGGGUUGUUUCUUUUAAUAAAUCAUCAUUGUUAAAAGCA